Molecule: long non-coding RNA, 649 nt
Organism: Alexandromys fortis (reed vole)
Lineage: Eukaryota; Metazoa; Chordata; Mammalia; Rodentia; Cricetidae
Exons: 2
Source: RefSeq, a predicted model, not a curated record
CCCUGUUUCAUAAAAACAAAUAAUAAUAAUAAAAUAGAAUAAAAUUUGUGUGAUGCAUAACAUGCAUACAUGAAUGACUAUGAUGCCUUGGUGUCUAGAAAAACAUGUAUAGUUCAAUUUAGGUGUGAAAUAUGGCUAAAAAUCCCUGCUUCGAUGAGUCUCAACUUUACAAAGACCUGCUUCAAAAUGAUCCCAGAGCCAUCAUCUUAAAGGAUCUUUUUCGAGUCAGGUAAGAAGGCAGAGAAGACAGAAAGAAGGUGGAGCCAGGACACCCAGCAGGCACUGCGAUAAGCAGACUAUAAUUCGGCUCCUGGCAAUUUGCCUCUUUGUGCAAUUUGCACAACAAGCUUCCCGCUGAAGACAGUGGCGGUGCAGUCCAAAGCCUGAGCUCAAGGGAUCGUUGUGAGGAAUCAGAACCCGCUGACUGAGGAAGUAAGGAGGGCGGGGCGUCCGCAGAGAGUGACAGGAGCUGGGGAAGAGGAGAGGAAGACGGCGUGAGCUGAACCUCGUCAACACCAGCCAACCAUCCCAGAUGGGGACCGAUCGUAAUCUCGAGAAAGACCCAGAGCAGUCAGAACCUACCCAGCUACGGGGACGGCCGGCUGGAGCUAAUUAUAAGGACGACCUCCCGUCACCUAGGUAACCGGUU